RNAcentral lists this unclassified non-coding RNA (155 nucleotides) under uncultured Lecanoromycetes. Its description in RNAcentral is "sequence contains ITS1". Lineage: Eukaryota; Fungi; Ascomycota; Lecanoromycetes. The record is from RNAcentral.
CCGAGUGAGGGCCCCCGGGCCCGACCUCCAACCCUUUGUUGACCAACACCUGUUGCCUCGGGGGCGACCCGGACGCCGACGCGUCGGCCGUCGGGCACCCCGGUGGACCAUUCCAACUCUGUGUCCGUACGACGGAGUACUUUGCGAAUCAAUCA